RNAcentral lists this ribosomal RNA (292 nucleotides) under uncultured bacterium. Its description in RNAcentral is "partial 16S ribosomal RNA". It matches the Rfam family "Bacterial small subunit ribosomal RNA", at positions 505 to 796 of the family's 1533-position model. The record is from RNAcentral.
GUGCCAGCAGCCGCGGUAAUACGUAGGUGGCAAGCGUUGUCCGGAAUUACUGGGCGUAAAGGGCGUGUAGGCGGCCUUUUAAGUCAGACGUGAAAUCCCUGGGCUUAACCCAGGAACUGCGUUUGAAACUGAGAGGCUUGAGGAUCGGAGAGGGCAGUGGAAUUCCCAGUGUAGCGGUGAAAUGCGUAGAUAUUGGGAGGAACACCAGUGGCGAAGGCGACUGUCUGGACGACACCUGACGCUGAGGCGCGAAAGCUAGGGGAGCAAACGGGAUUAGAUACCCUCGUAGUCC